CAGCUCGGCGGAGAGCUUCUGCCGUGCCGCCUCGGUUGCCUUCUGUAAGUGUGCCGCCGUUUGGGGACGUUUCUCAAUAAAAAAAGAAAAAAAAGUGUGGAAACUUUGAGCUGGGUUUUGCGGUCGCUGGGGUUUGGGCUCGGGGUUUGGCGGCUCUCCAGGCAGCAGAACCGCGGCGGAGCCUGGAAGCAGGGGGGGGAAAUUUGUCACCGCUUUGGAAACGGGGAUCUGCCUCGGGAUCUUCUCCGCUCAAAGGGCUGCAUUUACACCUAAAAAAAAAGAAAAAAACAAGAAAAUUGGGAAACCUCUCUGUGUUGCAGUUGUAUUUGGGCUUCUGUGCGGUGGACGCGUGCCCUCUGGUGACAGCAGCGAGCAGGCAGGCGCAGAUUUAUGUGGUAAUGUCUCCUCCUCCUGCUUUUUCCCAUGAUUUUGGGAAAUUAUUGAAGUUUUUGGAGCUGUGGAGGAGCAGGAGGCUGGGCUCCUCUCUGCAGAACGGGGCAGGGAAAUUAAAAAUAAGGAUUAAUGAUGCUCGGCGUUGGCCACCACCGACGCGAGCCCUUGUGGUUUGUUGUGCCCGGUGCCAACCCUCACUGAGGGAGUGACGGGGAGCAGAACUGACGUUGUUAAACGUUAAUGUGUUAGGAGAAGGUGUAUGGAAAAACAAAAUGUUAAUGUGUGUGGAAAAAAAGCGAUUUUGGGGUGGAUUUAGGGGGCGGAGGGCCCCGGCGCUCCCUUUGGCCACCCCUUGCCACGGAGGUGACUCAGGGGGGUGACGUGGCUGGCCGCCGGGCACCGAAAAUCGGUGCGGUUUCGACAUGUUUGGGAAAAAUUUGUGGUGUGUGGGAGAGGCGGGCGUGGGAGCCGCGUUCACGGCACACGUAAUCCCCCUGGGUGGGGGGAGAGGCGGCGGCGCCAUGCCUGGGGGCAGCUCCCGGGAGGGACACCGACCCCGUCAACCCCCCGCGGCCCUGCCCCGGGCUCCCACCGAGCCCCGAGGCCGCUUCACGCCGGUUCUGACACCGGGGAGAGGCUCGGGGAGGGCUCGGAGCGGCCCCGGGGCAGCCCCGCGGCGGGUCACAAGAUGGCGCCGGGCCGCCAUCACCUCAGCCGACCCCCCCCCCCCCCCCCCCCUCCCCCCCCCCGGCGCGGUGCAUGCCGGGAAGGGAGCCCCGCCGGGAGCCCGCCAUUUUCUGUCAGGGCUGGCGGGAAAGGCGGGAAGGGAGCGAGCGCAGCCCCAGCGCCGCCGCGGGACUCCCACCGGCUCCAGCGGCCGCCGCCAGCCACGCACCAGCCCCUGACGAGCCCCCGGGAUGGCCCGCACCAAGCAGACGGCCCGCAAGUCCACGGGCGGCAAGGCGCCGCGCAAGCAGCUGGCCACCAAGGCGGCCCGGAAGAGCGCCCCGUCCACGGGGGGCGUCAAGAAGCCCCACCGCUAUAGGUAACGCCCAAAAAUGCACAAAACGGCACAAAAACACCCAAAAACAGCACAAAAACACCACA
This 1500-nucleotide long non-coding RNA is filed under the name Anas platyrhynchos platyrhynchos (common mallard). RNAcentral's name for it is "lncRNA (ENSAPLG00000019050.1)". Lineage: Eukaryota; Metazoa; Chordata; Aves; Anseriformes; Anatidae. The record is from RNAcentral.